UGGAGAUGAAACUGACUUUGACAGGAUUGAUCCUUCCGAUGACAUUUAUGUAUGUGUUCAUGAAAAUAUACAAUUGAAAGAAUUUCUGUCGGGGUCUGGGAAAUUGCUGCCUGCUGCUUACUCACCAGACGGCGCCGGAGCUCUUUGUGGGGGUGUGCAGCAGGUGUCGCUCAUCAUCAAUCAGGCCCUGAGGUUUAAAAGGAGCUAGUCAGCACUUUGUUGCCUGAGUGUUUGCCUAUAGUGAUAACUUACUGGCCAAGUUAAGCUUGCUUAAACUCUGUGUUUUUUCUCCCAAGAACCUUUUGUGUGCUCCUUCUCAGGACUUCCUGACCACCUGGCUCCAGUCUCGGUGUUGUUUCUCUGGCAAUAUUCUAAGUACUUCUGACUUCAAGCUCCCUCGCUUAUUAAGCUCCAGCUGGCUGACUCCAAGCUCCAAACCUCUAAGCAACCUGCAAGCGAACCUAGCCCACCCUCCAACCUGAGUCCUGAAUCCAACACCAAGUAUACUCACCUCACACUUUCAUCCUGGAAAGGCAAUCCAAACUUGUGUUCAUCCAAACCAUUCAUCUGAGGAUUUCAAGUUCUACCUGUACAAACAGACAUUCACCAACCUCCCAGGCUCCGCUUUGUCUUCCCCCCUUUGGGCAACUUCCUUCAGCUCCACUCUUUGGUGUGUUUCCAGUCCAGGGUAUGUUUCCUGAGUUGUUCUGUACAAGGGAAAAAAACUGUUAAAUCUUUUUUCUGUCUCCUGAGUGUUAUCCUAACUGUUGAUGAUGAGGAGGAGGAGAGAGAAUAGACCUGAGGCAUCCAGUGCUCUGAAGAGAGGCAGAGGGAGAGGAAAGAGUCAGUCUUCAGAAAACAGGAGCUGCAUCAGUCGUUCCAUUGGCAAGGAAGUAACUGUGAACAGGAACUGUCACAAGGCCUAUAACAGCUCCACUGGUCAAAUUGAAAGCUAAUGUUUGGCUGUGAUUGCAUUAUUGUAAAUUGUUUUUUGAUGCUCAUAUUGUCUUUUUGCAUUCUGAUUUUUUUUUUUUUUUUGUAUCUUGAUAAAAAAUAUAAUUUGAAUUUGUGUUCAUCUGUGCUAAAGUUUCAACACAGUAACAAACAAUUACAGUUUUUGUUUUUGUUUUGCACUUUUAUUCUUUAAAGAUGGUCUUAUGAACAUAUGUGUGCUCAUAGGUAUCUGGCACACUUAGAGAUUUGUUUCCAAUACUGUAAUAAUUUUUUUUUUAUGUGCAUAUUGUCCUUUCUGAAGUUUUUCACAAUGUUUAUUGGGCUAAUUAUGGAUUCUUUAAGACAGUGAUUUGUGAAACUCUUACUUCUUGAAUAAAAUAUUGGUAAAGCCUUG
This is a long non-coding RNA of Girardinichthys multiradiatus, 1348 nucleotides long. RefSeq lists it as uncharacterized. The record is from RefSeq and is a predicted model, not a curated record. Lineage: Eukaryota; Metazoa; Chordata; Actinopteri; Cyprinodontiformes; Goodeidae. The transcript is spliced from 3 exons.